UAGAAUGACCCUCUGCCUCAUCGAUCUCCAUCCACAGAGCAGGUGCAGUGCAGGCAGCAGCAGAGCCUGGUUCCAUCACUCUCUGCCUUGCCAGUGUGUCUAACCCCUGUCCUGGGGCAACGGCUUCAAAGAUGAAAGGGAGUUCAGUCUCCAUGGCCCUUUCAGUCUUUGGCCUCU
This is an unclassified non-coding RNA of Chelonoidis abingdonii (Abingdon island giant tortoise), 177 nucleotides long. Lineage: Eukaryota; Metazoa; Chordata; Testudines; Testudinidae. The record is from Ensembl.